UACAGAGGUCUCAAGCGUUGUUCGGAUUCAUUGGGCGUAAAGGGUGCGUAGGCGGCGCCGUAAGUCAGGUGUGAAAUUUCGGAGCUUAACUCCGAAACUGCAUUUGAUACUGCGGUGCUUGAGGACUGGAGAGGAGACUGGAAUUUACGGUGUAGCAGUGAAAUGCGUAGAGAUCGUAAGGAAGACCAGUGGCGAAAGCGAGUCUCUGGCUAAAUGCUGACGCUGAGGCACGAAAGCUGGGGGAGCAAACGGG
Molecule: ribosomal RNA, 253 nt
Filed under: uncultured bacterium
Lineage: Bacteria
Description: partial 16S ribosomal RNA
Rfam family: Bacterial small subunit ribosomal RNA
Source: RNAcentral